RNAcentral lists this ribosomal RNA (253 nucleotides) under uncultured bacterium. RNAcentral's name for it is "partial 16S ribosomal RNA". It matches the Rfam family "Bacterial small subunit ribosomal RNA", at positions 524 to 776 of the family's 1533-position model. The record is from RNAcentral.
GACAGAGGGUGCAAACGUUGUUCGGAAUUACUGGGCGUAAAGCGCGUGUAGGCAGCUUUGAAAGUCGGGUGUGAAAGCCCUGGGCUCAACCCAGGAAGUGCACUCGAAACUUCCGAGCUCGAGUCCUGGAGAGGAAGGCGGAAUUCUCGGUGUAGAGGUGAAAUUCGUAGAUGUCGAGAGGAACACCGGUGGCGAAGGCGGCUUUCUGGACAGUGACUGACGCUGAGACGCGAAAGCGUGGGGAGCAAACAGG